CUGGAAAUGCAGUAUAAUAGGUCUCCUUUAAACUGUACCUCAGUACCAAAACAUGUAUUUUGGGCCAUUUGGGUCCAGCUGUUUACCAAGGUCUGCUAAUGCUUUACUGUUCCUACCUGUAUAUUAGGAUGAGAGAACUGGUUACAUGUGAAAAAGGUUUGCCAAAAGCUCAUGUGAAGAUCAUAUAAGGCUGAAUUUCAAGGACUCUCACAGGAGGUUUAUGAUAAUGUCUAGCUCUGACAUGCCAAGUGCAUGAAAUAAAGAGGAGAGCAACUUUCUGCUUCACUUCACUGUAAAUAGUAAAUGGUCUGUACUUGUAUUAUGCCUUUCUAGUUUUUACCACCACUCAAAGUACUUUUACACUACAUCACACUCACCCCAUUGCCACACAUUUACACAGAAACAGAACUUUCUGUACAAUUCACAAUCACACCACUUUAGCUCACUAACCACAUUUCUUUCAUUUCCUCAUCUUAUGCUGAAAGUAAAGAGCAUAGGAUAGGUUGCUGGCAGCCUUGCAGAUACAUGUAUUCUGCAUAAUUGUGCAUCAUGCAGAGCAAUAAAGGAACUAACACCCACAAGGCAUAAAUAGUAAAUUUACACCAGCAUCCUGUUUCAAUCUGAAACAUGUAAGUAUUUCUAUUUCUGCUCAAAGAUAAAAGACAAUUUCUUUAGACACAGCAGGACUCAGGCAGGUUGAAGCAACACAGUGAGUGUUUGUCUUCAGCUGCAGCCAUGGCGCUCAGGUGGAUCAUUCUGUUCUUUGGCCUGGGACUGGCAGCAGCCAAGCUAACAGGUGACACAGAAAUUGAUGUUGAUGAAGGCCAAGACUGGGACAUCUUUAGCAUCAAUGAAGCGGCUGGUCUGGAACUGCUGGAGGGAGACAUCGUACAGGAGGAA
This is a long non-coding RNA of Micropterus dolomieu (smallmouth bass), 900 nucleotides long. RefSeq lists it as uncharacterized. The transcript has 4 exons. The record is from RefSeq and is a predicted model, not a curated record. NCBI's taxonomy places the organism in Eukaryota, Metazoa, Chordata, Actinopteri, Centrarchiformes, Centrarchidae.